ACCUUCCUUCCCGCCGAAGAGCCGCCUGCUCCCUCCGAGCCGGAACCUGCCGCCACCGCCGCCGUCGAGAGCGCCAGCAAGGAGAUCACACCGGAGGCUGCCGAGGAGAUCAAGAAGGAAGAGGCCGAGAAGGUGGAGGAGACCCCAGCUCCCCCUGCUCCCGCCGAAGAGGCGCCGGCACCUCCGGAGCCCGAACCGGCGAAACCGGACGAGCCUGCACCUGAACCUGCCAAGGCUUGAACACCACAGCUCUCCCCUCCAUAUCAUUCCAUGCAUGGACUUGUACAUCUGCCUUCGCCACCUGCUCUAUGUUUGCAUCAUUUGUUAUUCUUUCUUUGACCUCUUUGCUACAUCACGCCCUAUUGUCUCUCUCCUGUACGUACCUGUCACGAGGUUUCUUUCCUUUUGCAUCUGUGAAGAACAUGCAAACUGUGUAUGAUAAUACUACAUGAUCAAGUGCUGUCUGGUUCACUGUAUAUUUCAGGUGUAAAUGGGUUUAUAUUUCUCGUUCCUACUGCUGUCAUCAUUGAAGUUGUUGUUGCCGUGUCACGUCCCACAGAAAGAGGAUGUCAAGGAAACGCUCCGGAGAGGCUGUGUAUGUUCCCUGUGGGCCUUCUGCGUCCGAUCAGAGCUGUCCUCUUUUCCUUUGUUUGAAGCUUCCACGAUUGAGGGUGUAUAAAAACAAUAGCUAAGCGGACAACAUGAAGAAGUCAAGGCAUUGAUUAGGGGAAGAUACAUCGAGGAAAGGGACGUGAGAUUAAUCUCCUCUGAGCCAGCAGUGGAAUAAGAGUAAUCAAUCCUACACGGAAAAGGAAGACUAUUAUGUGUAAGCUUGUGCUGUGCUGAUAGAUACUCCAUGAGAGAAGGUGGCGUAUUCUCUCAACACUCGAAAAGUCUGUCUGAGAGGGUGUUGAUCUAUAGAAUUAAGAGAAAAAUUCUUUAAUAUUCUCAAUGCUAAUAGUAGCAGCACAUCAACAACAUCCAAGUCAAACAUUCAUCAUGACUUGCGAGGAUUGAGUGCAUGUAAUGUGUGGGGCCAUGGGUAAGAAUUGUUAUCAACGAGAAAAUAUUUUAUUUGAUUC
This 1082-nucleotide long non-coding RNA is filed under the name Musa acuminata (dwarf banana). RNAcentral's name for it is "long non-coding RNA (MACU_LNC001065)". The record is from RNAcentral. Lineage: Eukaryota; Viridiplantae; Streptophyta; Magnoliopsida; Zingiberales; Musaceae.